CCUCGCAUUCCUCUUCAGUCGUUGGCGCAAGAGCAAUGUCAYCGGCCUUGGCCGCCCACGGGUUUCCUGUGUUGCAUACCUACCGGAAGGAAUUCGGUCGUCCCAACGCUCGACGUUCUCCCGGCGCCGUCCGUCCCUCGGGGGCACGGCGUGGGGUGAACCGCGAAGGCGAGUUCGUGUUCCGAGCCGCAGCCAAGGGGCGCGUCCCGGCGCACGAUCCUCCGCCUGAGCUCUCGGAUGCGGAACACCAGGAGGGCAGGAGGUGCUCGGCCUCCGGUUGCCCGAACCCGGCGUCAAUCGCCCGCAUUGAACGACUGCCGUCGUCGCCUCGAGAUGUCGCGGCCCUCGGGCCCGUCGGCCUCUCGUGCGACGCCGGUGUCGGCGA
RNAcentral lists this unclassified non-coding RNA (385 nucleotides) under Genipa americana. RNAcentral's name for it is "partial external transcribed spacer". Lineage: Eukaryota; Viridiplantae; Streptophyta; Magnoliopsida; Gentianales; Rubiaceae. The record is from RNAcentral.